RNAcentral lists this ribosomal RNA (1151 nucleotides) under uncultured organism. RNAcentral describes it as "bacterial SSU rRNA". It matches the Rfam family "Bacterial small subunit ribosomal RNA", at positions 204 to 1387 of the family's 1533-position model. The record is from RNAcentral.
AGGCUCUGGCGCUUUGAGAGGGACCUGCGGCCCAUCAGCUAGUUGGUAGGGUAACGGCCUACCAAGGCGAAGACGGGUAGGGGGCGUGAGAGCGUGACCCCCCACACUGGCACUGGGACACGGGCCAGACUCCUACGGGAGGCAGCAGUGAGGAAUAUUGCGCAAUGAGCGAAAGCUAGACGCAGCAACGCCGCGUGGGUGAUGAAGGCCUUCGGGUCGUAAAACCCUUUUCUGGGGGAAGAGUAAGGACGGUACCCCAGGAAUAAGCCUCGGCUAACUAUGUGCCAGCAGCCGCGGUAAUACAUAGGAGGCAAGCGUUAUCCGGAUUUACUGGGCGUAAAGAGCGUUGAGGCGGCUUCGUAAGUUGGACGUGAAAGCUCCCGGCUUAACUGGGAGAGGCCGUUCAAUACUGCGGGGCUUGAGGACCGCAGAGGGGGGUGGAAUUUCCGGUGUAGUGGUGAAAUGCGUAGAUAUCGGAAGGAACACCAGUGGCGAAGGCGGCCCCCUGGGCUGCUCCUGACGCUGAAGGCGAAAGCUAGGGUAGCGAACGGGAUUAGAAACCCCGGUAGUCCUAGCCGUAAACGAUGGAUACUAGGUGUAGGAGGUUAAAAUUCCUUCUGUGCCGGAGCUAACGCGUUAAGUAUCCCGCCUGGGGAGUACGGUCGCAAGGCUAAAACUCAAAGGAAUUGACGGGGGCCCGCACAAGCAGCGGAGCGUGUGGUUUAAUUCGAUGCAACGCGAAGAACCUUACCAGGGCUUGACAUGUAGGUAGUGGUGAAGCGAAAGCGGAACGAUCCUUCGGGAAGCCUACACAGGUGCUGCAUGGCUGUCGUCAGCUCGUGCCGUGAGGUGUUAGGUUAAGUCCUGUAACGAGCGCAACCCCUGCCGUUAGUUACAAGUGUCUAACGGGACUGCCCGGCAAAACUGGGAGGAAGGUGGGGAUGACGUCAAGUCAGCAUGGCCUUUAUGUCCUGGGCUACACACACGCUACAAUGGCCGGUACAAUGGGUUGCCAAGCCGCGAGGCGGAGCCAAUCCUCUAAAGCCGGUCUCAGUUCGAAUUGUAGGCUGCAACCCGCCUGCAUGAAGUUGGAGUUGCUAGUAACCGCAGGUCAGCCACACUGCGGUGAAUACGUUCCCGGGCCUUGUACA